CCCAAGCCCUAGCACCUCCUGCGCCCUUCGCCUCUUCUUCUUCAUCAGUUUCUCUCUCACACAGUCACACACUCUCAAUUCAGACUGAAAAAAUGUCGCACUUCGGGAGAUCGGGCCCUCCGGACAUCAGAGAUACCUAUUCUCUCCUCGUCCUUAACAUCACUUUCCGUACCACCGCCGAUGAUUUGUUCCCGCUCUUCGAUAAGUAUGGCAAAGUCGUUGACGUGUUCAUCCCCCGCGACCGCAGGACUGGUGAUUCAAGAGGAUUUGCUUUUGUGCGAUACAAGUACCAGGAUGAAGCACAGAAGGCAGUUGAAAAGCUUGAUGGAAGAGUUGUUGAUGGAAGGGAGAUAAUGGUUCAAUUCGCAAAAUAUGGUCCAAAUGCUGAACGAAUUCACAAAGGAAAAAUAAUGGAACCAGUUUACAAGUCAAAAGGAAGGUCAAGAAGUCGCAGCCCUCGGCCAAGGUACAGGGAUGAUUACAAGGAUAGGGAUCAUCGUAGAAGUAGCCGUAGUAGAAGCAGAGGAAAGGAUCGUGAGGGUCGUCGUGGCAGGGAUAGAGAUUAUCGUCACCGAAGCAGAAGCCGCAGUGGGAGCCCUGAUUACCACAAAGACCGUGGAAGGGGCAGAUAUGAUGAUGAUAGACGCAGUCGAAGUCGGUCUUAUGGAAGUGCCUCCCCUGCUCGGCGCAGUGCAAGUCCUAGGAGGAGCCAAUCUCCCCGCAGAACCCCCCCUUCUCGUGGUGCAAGUCCUGAUGCAGUUAAACAGAAAGAUCGUUCACCAACCUCAAAAAGUCUGUCACCGCGUGGUCGACGUGCUGAUUCCCGAAGCCGAUCUCCGCACUCUGAUGCUGAUGAUUGAGUGGGCAGGAUACCAUCUCAUGGAUCUUCAGAUUGAAGCUUGGUGCAGCGCUUGUCUUGAGGAGACCAUUUCUGAUAUUCAUGUUAUGAAUGUGUAGACCUUGAUAGAACUUAAUUGGCCGAACUGGUUAUGAGUUGUGUUCGUGAAGAGUAAAUGUGGCUGAUUGGCAAGAUGAUGCAGCAGCUGUAGAUGCUGUUUGUGUGAUGCAGCAGCUGUUGAUGCUGUUUGUAUGAUGCAGCAGCUGUAGAUGCUGUUUGUAUGAUGCAGCAGCUGUUGUUGCUGUUUUUAUGAUGCAGCUGUAGAUGCUGUUUGUGUGAUGCAGCAGCUGUUGAUGCUGUUUUUACUUGCUGUUGGUUAUUUUAUUUUGUUGCUGGUGACAAACUUCAGUUUCUUUACAAAUUUCUGACCCUGUCAUGAUUGAAUCUUUGAUGUGAUCAAUUAGAAGAUGGUUCGAGCGCCUGCUUUAUUAAGUGUAGCUGGUGCAGUUGAUUCAGGAACCAGGGUCCAGUAAUGUUGAUAAUUUGCUAGAUGGAGUUUGACAUAUAAAACCAUAGUCUGGACUUGGAGGAUGACGUUUGGUCUAUUGCUUCUGCUGGUUUUAAAUUUAGCUUUUACCACAUUUGCCAAAACUAGGUGGGAAGAACGUGCAACAUGCAAGUGUUUAUCCUUCUGAUGUGUAUUAAUCUAAUAUUACUUUUUAACAUUUGUUCAAACUAAUAGAAUUUUAAUCAUGUGAA
RNA transcript from Coffea eugenioides, 1597 nucleotides. It is a transcript of the gene named serine/arginine-rich splicing factor SC35-like, with no coding region annotated. NCBI's taxonomy places the organism in Eukaryota, Viridiplantae, Streptophyta, Magnoliopsida, Gentianales, Rubiaceae. The record is from RefSeq and is a predicted model, not a curated record. The transcript is spliced from 10 exons.